GGGGAGGGGACGAGAAGGCAUAGCAUCAACGACUCAGACACUGGAAUCUGUUGAAAACCCAUGUGACCAACAUCAAGACCCAUUAUACUCAUGUCAGCUGCUCUGCAUUCUUCUGUUUUUUUCCUGAACAUAGGAGUGCAUGUCUGCAAUGCAAGGCAUUGAUCUCAUGGAUUUAGCAGUUGUAGAAGAUCCUUCCGAUGGUGGCAAAAGGUGAUCCAUGUGUCCCUCAUAGGGGCUCCCUGAGACAUAGACACAGCAAGCACAGAUUGGACCAACAGAAGGUCACUCAGACACAGGCAACUCUUGCACCUAUUGGAGGAAGAGAUGGGUAGACACCAGUGCAAAACUAUACACAACAACAUGGCAUCACCAGAGCCUAGCCCUUCUACAACAGCAAGACCUGAACAUCACAAUGUAGAAGAAGCAGAAGAAAGUGACCUUAAAAAUAACUUCAUGAAGAUGCUAAAGGUCUUUAAAGAGGAAAUGAAAAAUUCCCUUAAAGAAAUUGAGGAAAAGACAAACAAAAAAUUGGAAGAAAUCAAUAAAUCCCUUAAAGAAAGCCAAGAAAACCAUAAAAAAGCAAUUAAACAUGUGAAGGAAACAGUUCAAGACCUGAAAAGUGAAAUAGAAACAAUGAAGAAGACACAAACAGAGGGAAUGAUGGAAAUAGAAAAUCAGAGUAAACAAACAAGAAACACAGAUGCAAGCAUAACCAACAGAAUACAAGAGAUGAAAGAGAGGAUCUCUGGUGUAGAGGACACAAUAGAGGAAAUAGAUUCAUCAGUCAAAGAAAACACCAAUGCCAAAAAAGUAACACAAAAUGUCCAGGAAAUCUGGGACACCAUGAAAAGGCCAAACCUAAGAAUAAUAGGGAUAGAAGAAGGAGAAGUGUAGGGAAAAGGGGCUGGCUAAAGAAACUCACCCUGACCCUGGAGCCCAGAAUUAGGGAAGAAUGGCUCAGAUAAGGCCAGUGAGAGAAAUACAGUUUAGCUCCUAUCAGAGCCAUCUCUGCCCCGUCCAACUGACUUGUGAAACCAACCAAUCACAGAGCAAGAUAGUAUAACCCUGGGCCCGGGGUUGACUCCACCCCCUAGACUUCCUGUGUAAACCAUCCUGACUAGUCAGUUAGAAAGGAAGAAUGUUCUCUCCACCCUGGUAGAGGCAGCUACUCUCCUGGACUCCUCCUUCCCAAAUAAACCUCUUCCUCAAAAGAGUUUUUUGGGUGUGAAGAUCUUCAUUCACUGGCGUAGAGAAGAUCCUUGCUGAGACGUCCCCCAGUGGACAAGACAAGAGAGAGAGAGCCCAAAGAGCAGGGCAAGGAGGAGCUGAACAGAAGAUCUUUGCUAAGACGUCCCUCAGUGGACAGAGGGAACUAUAAGUAACGCUUUUCUCCAGAGCUGG
Peromyscus eremicus (cactus mouse) is the source of this 1401-nucleotide long non-coding RNA. RefSeq lists it as uncharacterized. NCBI's taxonomy places the organism in Eukaryota, Metazoa, Chordata, Mammalia, Rodentia, Cricetidae. The record is from RefSeq and is a predicted model, not a curated record. The transcript has 3 exons.